This 74-nucleotide transfer RNA is filed under the name Methylibium petroleiphilum PM1. It matches the Rfam family "tRNA". Rfam says of the family: Transfer RNA (tRNA) molecules are approximately 80 nucleotides in length. Their secondary structure includes four short double-helical elements and three loops (D, anti-codon, and T loops). Lineage: Bacteria; Pseudomonadati; Pseudomonadota; Betaproteobacteria; Burkholderiales; Sphaerotilaceae. The record is from Rfam by way of RNAcentral.
GUCUCGUUCGUCUAGUGGUCCAGGACACCGGGCUUUCACCUCGGAGAUCGCGGGUUCGAACCCCGCACGAGACG